GAUGAACGCUAGCGGCAGGCCUAAUACAUGCAAGUCAAGGGGCCAGUAAUGGCACCGGCGGACGGGUGCGUAACGCGUACACAACGUACCUUUGGGUGGGGGAUAGCAUCGGGAAACUGGUGGUAAUACCCCAUGGUAUUGGAGACUGGCAUCAGUUUUCAAUUAAAGACUACGCCCAAAGAUCGGUGUGCGUCUGAUUAGCUAGUUGGUAGGGUAACGGCCUACCAAGGCGACGAUCAGUAGGGGAUGUGAGAGCAUGAUCCCCCACACGGGUACUGAGACACGGACCCGACUCCUACGGGAGGCAGCAGUGGGGAAUCUUAGACAAUGGGGGAAACCCUGAUCUAGCCAUGCCGCGUGAUCGAUGAAGGCCUUAGGGUUGUAAAGAUCUUUCAGAUGGGGAAGAUAAUGACGGUACCAUCAGAAGAAGCCCCGGCUAACUCCGUG
Molecule: ribosomal RNA, 447 nt
Filed under: uncultured bacterium
Lineage: Bacteria
Description: bacterial SSU rRNA
Rfam family: Bacterial small subunit ribosomal RNA
Source: RNAcentral